Molecule: ribosomal RNA, 1016 nt
Filed under: Triticum aestivum (bread wheat)
Lineage: Eukaryota; Viridiplantae; Streptophyta; Magnoliopsida; Poales; Poaceae
Description: partial small subunit ribosomal RNA
Source: RNAcentral
AUGCCCCCGCCGCGCAGCUGCGCUCCGAACAGUCCAGAAGGCACGGGAAUGCGUCAGGCGCUUUUCCCCGCGAUGCCUGGGCCCACCUACCAGGCCCAGGCCCAAUGGGCUUCUGACCGUGCGCUUUCUCGCUACCUGCAGGAGCUCGACGAGAUGAAGCGUAGGCUCAAGGAGAUGGAGGAGGAGGCCGCCGCCCUGCGCGACAUGCAGGCCAAGGUCGCCAAGGAGAUGCAAGGAGGAGAUGCCAAUGCGUCUACAGCUGAGGCAAAGGAGCAGGUGGAUGCUCGCUCUGUUUAUGUUGGAAAUGUUGAUUAUGCGUGUACACCAGAGGAAGUGCAGCAGCAUUUCCAAGCUUGCGGAACUGUCAACAGAGUGACAAUCUUGACCGACAAGUUUGGACAGCCAAAAGGCUUUGCUUACGUGGAAUUUCUAGAACAAGAAGCUGUUCAGGAGGCUCUUAAUCUGAAUGAAUCUGAGUUGCAUGGUCGCCAGAUCAAGGUGUCACCAAAGAGGACUAACGUCCCUGGGAUGAAGCAGCGUCCUCCACGCGGAUUCAAUCCCUAUCAUGCCUACCCCUAUAGAUCAUACGGGGCACCGUAUUUCCCGCCGUAUGGAUAUGGGAGAGUUCCCAGAUUCCGCCGGCCGACACGCUACAGGCCGUACUUCUGAGAGGACAAGGCUUUCAUGAAGUUCAACGCAAUGCCAGUAGCCAUACUGCGGAAUAAUCUAGCUGCCGCUGUUUCAGUUACAUUGUUUGACUGGUAGACAUAAUCUGACGACGGUCGAAUGCCCCUAUCGUGUCAUCUUAAGCUCUGUUGUACCUGUGGGCUUGCAGUAUGCGUUCAGUCGUGUGGUGAAGUUGGUUUGCUGUACUUGGUAGUCGUAUUGUCUGACGUGGUUAUUAUGUUGGCCCGAAUGAAGUUAUGAUGCCAUGUUCUGAUGUCAAACUUUAAAAGAAACUGCAAUUCUGUACCUGUAUGCGAUGGGCCUAUAACCCUCUGAAUCUUUAGUAUAGC